UUCAGGCUGUCAGAGGAAGAAAGAGCUAACAGCCCGACCCGCGAGACGUGAGUGUGGAGAACAGAGACUACUGUAUAUAGACCACUGAGGGAUGGUAUGGACCUUUACUGAACAGGGAAACACUGGAGUAAAUCAUGGAGUCCGGUCACCUCCUCUCUCCUGAGUCCACGGUGACGUCCCUGCUGUCCAGCUCCAGUCACCUGAGGAGCAGCCUGCUGGCUCCUGAACACAACACCGCCUUCAGAUACAGAGAUAAGGAAAAAUACAAAAAGACAAGCUGUUGGCCCAGAAGAUGUUUAUGGGGCUGGGCUAACUAAAAAUUAAUCUCAUGCUUAAUGAUUGAAUCAUGGAUAUAUGGAUUGCAGAACUACACCUCGGCCUCUGCGGCGUUGGACGCCUACAUCUCAGACUUUGAGUGGAGUCAGAGCAGCCAGUUUGUUACGAGGGGGUUGGUUCUGCCUCACAGUCUGCCCUCCACGCCGAGGGGACCCAGAGCGAGCACGCUUAGAAACACAGAUGUUCUCAGGGAACAUUUGACCGACAGAGAGCUGGACUUCCUGAACCUCCCCGUUAGCUCCCUCCAUCACCGUGGCAACAGAGAUAGACUCUCCAUGACUACAGAUGAGCUGCUAUCUAUUCCUUAUGACGGCUCGAUGCCUGUAACGCACACCUCCGCCUUCCUCCAAGGUCAUUAAACGCAUCACUCAAACUCCCCCUGACAUCCUCUGAGAAUCAAUGCUUUCCCUUCACCUCUGACUUAAUUUGAGGUCAUUUAAUGCAUCACUCCUUCCUACUCCUCCAUCUUUUGUUUCUCAAUGCAUCAUGUUUGGAUGAUGGCAUUUGUCUGUGUUUCAGAAAUUGUGUGGUGACUAGGGGUAUAACGGUAUCCAUAUUCGU
Molecule: RNA transcript, 897 nt
Organism: Notothenia coriiceps (black rockcod)
Lineage: Eukaryota; Metazoa; Chordata; Actinopteri; Perciformes; Nototheniidae
Gene: cunh18orf54
Gene name: chromosome unknown C18orf54 homolog
Exons: 4
Source: RefSeq, a predicted model, not a curated record